This 66-nucleotide transfer RNA is filed under the name Mecistocephalus marmoratus. RNAcentral's name for it is "tRNA-Trp". The record is from RNAcentral. Lineage: Eukaryota; Metazoa; Arthropoda; Chilopoda; Geophilomorpha; Mecistocephalidae.
AAAAUCUUAAGUUAAUUAAACUAAUGGCCUUCAAAGCCAUAAUUAAAGUAAAUAUUUUAGAUUUUA